UUGUGCUCUUUUUGUUGCUCUUCUUUUUCCUGUAGAUUGAUUAUCUCUUCCCAACCAUCAGAUUUGAGCUAAAUAUUAUUUCCUCAGAGAAAUUUCCCUGAUAUCCUAGACUAAGGCAGAUGUCCCUGUGAUAUUCUUUCUAAUUAUUUGUGCACUUUUUAGAAUAGUAAUUAAGUUAUUCAAUGUGUGUGUCUCUCUGGCGGAGAACACUUGGAGAGGGGGCAACAUGCACAUGUGCUUCUUCAAUCUGAUACCCAGCGCUUGGCACAGUGCCUGCCACAAAGUGGAUGGAUAUAUCUUUGGAAGCUUUUCCUAUCUUUAAGAUAUACUGCUUUAGAAGAUUUGUCUUUGACAAAUCAUGAUUCUGAUGGCUCACGGAAGACUUAGUAAAAGUGUAAACUGAUGUAUGCAACAUUUUUUUCAAAACCAGCAAGAAGUAAGGGAAUACCAGUGACUGCCUCAUCAAGGAAAUAGGUAAACAACACCCAGCAGAACAGAAAAUGAGGGAUGGUGGACAUGAAGGAAGAAAUUCAGCCACACAGGGGAAGCUUGAUUACCAAAACAACCAUGUUUGAGGCAAUGCUUGGCUCUGGAGCUCCAAUGUGGCCCUAACAACACAGAAGUAGAACCAUGAAGAUACACAAGAUUAGGGCUUUUCUUGGGCUUCAGAUCAUCAUCCAGAAAGUCUUUUUUUGGAGAUCAAAGGUAUUUAUCACCAAGUAAACUUUUAAGGACCUGGCUCCAAACAUCAUGAGGGGGAUGGACACAAGACUACACCAUCACAGAAAUGGCAACCAAGUGAUGUCACAGAUCCAAGUGGUUACAUGUGGAAUACGUAGCAGAAAAGACCCCUCAGGGACUAAUAUGGGAAUCCAAUGGUGGACUCCUACUGAGAGGUAGGGCAGAGUGACAAACAUGGCAGAUUGGAGGUGCAUGGGGCAGAGACCUUGCCAAUCCUGUUCAAUUCUAUCGCAAGAACCAAAUUCAGAUCCUGACACAUGGGAGGCCCAUAAUGAGUAUUUGGUUACAUUUUGAAUGAAUGAUUUCUUUCUCUUAAAGGCUAACAAGGACCUGUGUAGACAGAUUUACUUACUUGAGUUUUACCAAAAUGGCAUUCCUUCACCCUUACUGACUCCUUCCAUUAUCACUGUAAAGUUAUCAUUUGUAGUAGAUCCAAUAAAAAGAUCAUUAUCUCUGGAGAGAUUCUAAAAGAAGCCAAUGGGAAACACUCUCCCCUUUAUUCAUAAGCAGAUCUGUUGCUAUACUUCCUCAGGAAGCUAGCGGAUGUCAAAACCUAUGUCACACGUGACUUUUCCAUACAAGGUGUGUUUGUACAACAAUGCCCACAAGUGCAUGUAGAAAGCAUUUUUAUUGUAUAGCAUGAAAUAUGCACCUUAUAUUCAUCAUUCUAUUUGUGUGUGUGUGAGGAAUGAAUGAGAUUCAUGUCAUGUACCUAACAAAGCUCUAGGGUGAAUGGAGUCACCUCUGGCACCAGUCAUAGGGGCUCUGUCACUGUUCAUUUACAGGAGAUUGUUUCCCCUUUAACGUUCUUUUCAUUUAUUUGUCUUCUCAUUUCCAUGCUCUCCUUCUUCUGUUCACUCUAAUUUUUCUUUUUUAUAUUCUACUUUCUUCUCCUUUUAAAUUCAUAUCUAUUCUAGAAUAUCCCAACUUUUGCUCUCCACUUCAAACACACUCAUGCAGAGUUCAGUCAUAGAGGGGGAUGCUCAGCUUUACAUUUGGUACACAUUCGUUUAAGAAAUCCUCUUCCCAUGAAGAAACAGGAAUUUUCUCCAGGAGAUUAUGCUUACAAAAAGUUAUUUGUUUAUUAUCUGAUUUUUGCCACUAGAAUUACAAGCUACUAGAGAGCAGUUUCUGGAACUGUGCCUAAUAUGUAUACCCCCUGAAAAAAUAUUUGUUGAAUAAAUGAAUAUAUACUGAAUGCCUAUGCAGAUAGACAUGGUAAGUUUUACCGCUUGAUGUAAAUAGAUGUGGUCUGUCUGCAUCUGUGCCAUCUGUAAAUGGUGACCAACCCGCAGCUUUGCAAAGACUCCAUUGAAUCUCGAGAAAGCAAACCUCUCACAUUUCUUUCUUCUCC
Canis lupus familiaris (dog) is the source of this 2095-nucleotide long non-coding RNA. RefSeq lists it as uncharacterized. The transcript is spliced from 4 exons. The record is from RefSeq and is a predicted model, not a curated record. Lineage: Eukaryota; Metazoa; Chordata; Mammalia; Carnivora; Canidae.